GAUCUGCUCACUGACACAGAGUUCAACGAGAGAUUUCUAAGACAGAAUCGGAGAUCCUUUCAAGUGGGAUCCUCUUCUCUAGUGAGAUAACCCAUGUACCACAGCUGUGCAGCUUUAAACCCAACCAGCCUAGAGAACAUUUACAUUUAUCUCAUCUUGGCAAAUACUUCUAAAACCUCAUUCGUCAUUGAGGCAGAACCUCUGCUUUGGAAAGUGCUGCCUCUCCACGGGCCAACCGAAAACUCACAGUGUCAUUUUAAGUGGUUCACGGCUAACCCCGAGAAGCUUAUGAAUGGGAUAUUUCAUGGAAGUAUAUUUGGGAGAUGCAAUAAAGUGCCAAGCCUCUGCUAAAAAUUAGUUCUUUAUUCAAAUAUUAUUUUAUUGUUAGC
Molecule: long non-coding RNA, 389 nt
Organism: Mesocricetus auratus (golden hamster)
Lineage: Eukaryota; Metazoa; Chordata; Mammalia; Rodentia; Cricetidae
Exons: 3
Source: RefSeq, a predicted model, not a curated record